CCUACGGGAGGCAGCAGUGAGGAAUAUUGGUCAAUGGACGAGAGUCUGAACCAGCCACGUAGCGUGAAGGAUGACUGCCCUAUGGGUUGUAAACUUCUUUUAUAUGGGAAUAAAAUGUUCCACGUGUGGGAUUUUGUAUGUACCAUAUGAAUAAGGAUCGCCCAACUCCGUGCCAGCAGCCGCGGUCAUACGGAGGAUCCGAGCGUUAUCCGGAUUUAUUGGGUUUAAAGGGGGCGUAGGUGGAUUGUUAAGGCAGUUGUGAAAGUUUGUGGCAGAACCGUAAAAUUGCAGUUGAAACUGGCAGUCUUGAGUACAGUAGAGGUGGGCGGAAUUCGUGGUGUAGCGGUGAAAUGCUUAGAUAGCACGAAGAACUCCGAUUGCGAAGGCAGUUCACUGGACUGCAACUGACACUGAGGCUCGAAAGUGUGGGUAUCAAACAGGAUUAGAUACCCUAGUAGUC
RNAcentral lists this ribosomal RNA (460 nucleotides) under uncultured bacterium. Its description in RNAcentral is "partial 16S ribosomal RNA". It matches the Rfam family "Bacterial small subunit ribosomal RNA", at positions 338 to 795 of the family's 1533-position model. The record is from RNAcentral.